CUGGCGCCAGCUGUGCCAAAGAUGGCUACCUAUCUACCAAACACUGCGCCCUUUGCAGAUGUGGCACUGUCUAUCAUUGGGAUGAGCUGCCUGAUCAAGGACUACAUUUCCCAGGCUGCCUUGCAUCUGGGUGUGGCCCUGUGACUGUUUCUCACCAAUGGGACAUGAGCAGAAGUGAUGUGUGUUACUUCCUGGUUGAGGCAGGUAAGAGGUGAUUGUGUCCCUCUUUCCCCAUGUGUCCACCAAAUGUGCUGAACGCCAAGGCCUUCAGAGGCUCUUAGAACCAUAGCCUGGAAGGAGCCCAGGUCCCUGAAUCGCCACGUAGAAGAGAGCUGCCUGCCAGCCAGGAACCGUUUCACGAUGGGACCGUUUCACGAGUGAAGAGCAGACUGUUAAUGGAUUAAGUCAUUGAAAUGGAAUGGUAAAGAGGAACCCAUGAUACUUCAUACAGGAAGAAAAGUGGGAGGCCAGGCACAGUGGCUCACGCCUGCAAUCUCAGCACUCUGGAAGGCCAAGGCACUCUGUCACCCAGGAGAGCAGUGGCACAAUCUCGGCUCACUGCAACCUCCACCUCCCAGGUUCAAGCGAUUCUCCUGCCUCAGCUGAGACUACAGGUACCUUCCACCAUGCCUGGCUAAUUUUUGUAUUGUAGAGAUGAGGGUUCACCAUAUUGGUCAGGCUGGUCUCAAACUCCUGGCCUCAGGUGAUCUGCUGGCCUCAGUCUCCCAAAGUGUUGGGAUUACAGACGUGAGCCACUGCACCCAGCCAACCCUUGCUUUUAUUUCCUCCCCCUCCUCCCCCCCUCCCCCCAACUUGAGCCUAGAGGGGACGGGUGUUGCCCUGGGGUAUCCACAGUAGCCUGAGGAAAGAUCACAGUGAGGUCCCAAGGAACUGCAUAGACCUGGGACAGAAAACAUCAGGAUCGAUGCUGGGUGGACACAGCUUGCUCUGUUUUUCCUUGUUCGUAUUGGUAUUUGUCUUAGUCUGCUGUAUGCUGCUACAACAGAAUACUUGAGAACAGAUAAUUUGUAACAAAUGAAUUUAUUUCAUAUGGUUCUGUGGGCUGGAAAGUCCUAGAUCAAGAAACCAGCAUUCAGUGAGCCCUUGACUUAGGCCUCCAUGCUGCCUCAUCACGUAGUGGAAGCGGAGGAGUGAAGCAUGCGUGCGCACAAGAGAAAGAAAGCACAUGCGAGGAGACAGCGAGAAGCUGGAUGCCCUUUCUUAACAAACCCCCUCGUCGAAGAGACAGCAAGAAGCUGGAUUCCCUUUCCUAACAAACCCCCUCGUCGAAGAGACAGCGAGAAGCUGGAUUCCCUUUCUUAACAAACCCCCUCGUCGAAGAGACAGCAAGAAGCUGGAUUCCCUUUCUUAACAAACCCCCUCAUCAAAUGACAACCUUAAUCCACUCAUGACGACAGGGUAUUCAUGACCUGAUCAACUUUUAAAGGUCUCCCCUCUCCAUAUUGCGGCAUUGGGGAUUACAUUUCCAACACUUUGGGGGACACAUUCCAACCAUCGCAAUGUUGUUAUUUAGAACCUGUUUGUCUAUUUUAGAAAAAGCAAAUAUGUGCAUUUUGUACAUCUAUAAAAGAUGUACAAUUAUAGGAUCAAAAAAUUAAGUAGAAACACUCUAAUGGUAGAACUAAGUUUAAUGUUAGGGCCAGGCAUGGUGGCUCAUGCCUGUGAUCCCAGCACUUUGGGAGGCCAAGGUGGGUGGAUCACUUGAGGCCAGGGGUUCAAGACUGUCCUGGCCAACAUGGUGACACCCUGUCUCUACUGAAAAACACAAAAAUGAGCCGGGUGUGGUGGCACACCCCCGUAAUCCCAGCUACUCAGGAGGCUGAGGCAGGAGAACCCCUUGAACCCAGGAGGCAGAGGUUGCAGUGAGCCAAGAUCGCCCCAUUGCACUCCAGCCUGGGUAACAAGAGCGAAACUCCGUCUCAAAAAAUAAUAAUAAAUAACAAUAAUAAUAAUAAUAUUAACUAAGCUUAAAGAUAGAACUAAGUUGGAGAGAAACUCUACUUUCAGUACAAGCAGGUUUAUAUUUUUCAGACCAACCUUCCUACUGAAAGCAACUUUAAAAAGGAGACACAAUAUUUAAAAUCAUCUUGAAAGCAUCAAAGAUCUGAGGAGGUAUGAAAAAGUUGCCUGGCCAGUGAGCCCAGCAUUAGAAGCCACUUCUGCCAUGGACGAGUUUCCCACCUUGAGAAGCUGAGCAGAGCCUAUGAGAGUCUUGAGGACAUCAAGGAACAGCAGUGGGGAAAUGACCCCACACUUGGCUCUCAGAAACCCAAAGGACUGCACUUCUUUUUUUCUGAGAUGGGGUCUCACUCUGUUGCCAAGGCUGGAGUGCAAUGUCAUGAUCGUCAUUCACUGCAACCUCCGCCUCCUGGGUUCAAGGGGUUCUCCUGCCUCAGCCUCCAGAGUAGCUGGAAUUAUAGGCCACCACACCUGCCUUAUUUUUUGUAUGUUUAGUAGAGACGGGGUUUCCAUGUAGACCAGGAUGGUCUUGAACUCCUGACCUCCUGGUCCAUCUGUCUUGGCAUCACCAAUGGCUGGGAUUACAGGCAUCAGCCACAACAUCUGGCCAAGGACUGCACUUUGAAGAGUAAGGGUGAGCCAGAAGCAACUGACCCUUGGAAGUAGUCUACCUUGGCUUCGAACCACGAGGGUAGGUCAGAAAGUCUUAAGCCUUGAAACUGAUUAGGGUGACCUGGGAUUACUGGUGCCUCCACUAGGAAUCCAAGUGUCCCUGGGUUUUCCUCCAGCUAACUAAAGUCCUUACAGCUGGCAUUUACCCCUCCCACCCUGCACUUCCACAUUGGCUGUUGAUGUGUCUGUCCCCUGCCCCCUUGUAGGCUCCUGGGAGGCAAGAGUGUGCCCACUUGAUUCAUCAGCAUCCAGUCCUCUAGUGCUGCCACCUGGUGGACUCUCAGUAAUAUGAGUUAAAUAGAAAUACCACGAUGAUGAACCUAACAAUGGCUAACGUGCUUCCUAAGGGCCAGGGGUUUUCACGUAUUGAUUCAACAACCCCUGGGACAAGGAUAUCGAAUCAGUGUCAGCUGCGGUGGAGCGGGAGGUACCAGGCUCCAGCAAGGGCACGCUUGUACUGCUGUGUGGACGAAAGUCAGCCCCAACGGGACUGAUCCUGGCCUCGCGGUGGACCCGUUUCAGGUUGAGGAAACUAGAGAGCUCCUUCAGGCCUCACUACCUAGCGACUGCACAGAGGUUUGCUGAGGGAGUGCAGGGGCCGGCUGAGGUGGGCGUCGACUGAGGUGGGCGUCGACACCAUCCACCUGGGGGGUGGUCUGGGAGACGCUGCUCUCCUGGGGUCCCAGCUGGUGGACUGGGCCAGCUCCUUUGGGCUUUGACUGGUGAUGCCUGUGGUGAAGGCACUGAAGUCUUUAUUCCCAAAUUCUGACGUUCCCAGGCACAUUCAUGGGGGCAGGACUGAUUCUCACAGAAGAUGCCAGGGCUGGGUCUCUUAGCAAAAUGUAGUGAUUGGAUGACCGUGUGUCCCUAAGGAUAUUUUGUCUACCAGCUUUCCUACCUGUCUGCCCUCUGUCCUUUCCUCAAGAAACAUGUCCUGGCUGGACGCAGCGGCUGGCGCCUGUAAUCCCAGCACUUUGGGAGGCCGAGGCAGGUGAAUCAUGAGGUCAGGAGAUCGAGACCAUCCUGGCUAACACAGUGAAACCCCAUCUCUGCUAGAACUACAAAAAUUAACUGGGUGUGGUGGCGUGCACCUAUAAUCCCAGCUACUCAGGAGGCUGAGGCAAGAGAAUCGCUUGAACCCGGGAGGCAGAGGUUGUAAUGAGCUGAGAUCGUGCCACUGCACUCCAGCCUGGGCAACAGAGUGAGACUCCACCUCAAUAAUAAUAACUAAGCUUAAUGUUAGGACUAAGUUGGAGAGAAACUCUACUUUCAAUAGAAGAAGGUUUAUAUUAUUCAGACCAAUCUUCCUACUUAAAGCAACUUUAGAAACGAGCCACAAUAUUUAAAAUCAUCUUGAAAGGAUUGAAGCCCUAAGGAUAUAUGAAAAAAUUGCCUGACCAGUGAGCCCAGCAUUGGAAGCCACUUCUGCCAUGGAUGAGUUUUCCAGCCUUGAGAAGCUGAGCAGAGCCUAUGCGAGUCUUGAGGACAUCAAGGAACAGCAGUGGGGAAAUGACCCCACACUUGGCUCUGGGAAACCCAAAGGACUGCAGUUUUUGCUUGUUUGUUUUUUCUGAGAUGGGGGUCUCACUCUCUCUCACAUGCUGGAGUGCAAUGGCAUGAUCUUCCCUCACUUCAACCUCCACCUUUUGGGGUCAAACAAUUCUCCUGCCUCAGCCUCCAGAGUAGCUGGAAUUACAGGUGCGUGCCACCACACCUGGCUAAUUAUUUGUAUUUUUAGUAGAGACGGGGUUUCCAUGUUCACCAGGAUGGUCUUGAACUCCUGACCUCAUGAUCCAUCUGUCUCGCCAUCACAAACGGCUAGGUGUUAGCUACCACAUCCGGCCAAGGACUGCACUUUGAAGAGUAAGGGCGAACCAGAAGCAAACUGACCCUUGGAAGUAGUCUAUCCUGGCUUCGAACCACCAGGGUAGGUCAGAAAGUCUUAAACCUUGAAAUUGAUUAGGGUGACCUGGGAUUACUGGUGCCUCCACUAGUAAUCCAAGUGUCCCUGGGUUUUCCUCCAGCUAACUAAAGUCCCUACAGCUGGCAUUUGCCCCUCCCACCUGCACUUCCACAUUGGCUGUUGAUGUGUCUGUCCCCUGCCCCCUUGUAGGCUCCUGGGAGGCAAGAGUGUGCCCACUUGAUUCAUCAGCAUCCAGUCCUCUAGUGCUGCCACCUGGUGGACUCUCAGUAAUAUGAGUUAAAUAGAAAUACCACGAUGAUGAACCUAACAAUGGCUAACGUGCUUCCUAAGGCCCCGGGGUUUUCACGUAUUGAUUCAACAACCCCUGAGACAAGGUGAUAGAAGUAGCGUCAGCUGUGGUGGGGCAAGAGGUUCCGGGCGCCAGCAAGGGCAGGCUUGUACUGCUGUUGGGCGAAUGUCAGUCCGGUCGGGAUGAGCUUGGCUCCGCAGUGGACCCGUUUGAGGUUGAAACAACUAGAGAGUUCCUUCAGGCCUCCCUACCUAGGGAUUAUGCAGAGGUUUGCUAAGGGAGCCCAGGGGGUGGCUGGGUGGGGUGGGCGUUGAGACAGUCCACCCGGGGGGUGGUCUGGGGGAGGCUGCUUUCCUGGGGUCCCAGCUGGUGGAAGGGGCCAGCUUUUCUGGGCUUUGACUGGUGCUGCCUGUGGUGGAGGCACUGAGGUCUUUAUUCCCAAAUUCUGACGUUCCCAGGCACCUUCAUGGGGGCAGGACUGAUUCUCACAGCAGAUGCCAGGGCUGGGUCUCUUAGCAAAAUGUAGUGAUUGGAUGACGGUGUGUCCCUAAGGAUAUUUCCUCUACCAGCUUUCCUACCUGUCUGCCCUCUGUCCUUUCCUCAAGAAACAUGUCCUGGCCGGAUGCAGUGGCUGGCGCCUAUAAUCCCAGCACUUUGGGAGGCCGAGGCCGGUGAAUCAUGAGGUCAGGAGAUCGAGACUAUCCUGGCUAACACAGUGAAACCCAUCUCUGCUAGAACUACAAAAAUUAACCGGGUGUGGUGGCGUGCACUGUAAUCCCAGCUACUCAGGAGGCUGAGGCAGGAGAAUCAUUUGAACCUGGGCAGCAGAGGUGGUAGUGAGCUGAGAUCGUGCCACUGCACUCCAGCCUGGGCAACAGAGUGAGACUCCACCUCAAUAAUAAUAACUAAGCUUAAUGUUAGGACUAAGUUGGAGAGAAACUCUACUUUCAAUAGAAGAAGGUUUAUAUUAUUCAGACCAAUCUUCCUACUUAAAGCAACUUUAGAAACGAGCCACAAUAUUUAAAAUCAUCUUGAAAGGAUCAAAGCCCUAAGGAGAUAUGAAAAAAUUGCCUGACCAGUGAGCCCAGCAUUGGUAGCCACUUCUGCCAUGGACGAGUUUUCCAACCUUGAGAAGCUGAGCAGAGCCUAUGAGAGUCUUGAGGACAUCAAGGAACAGCAGUGGGGAAAUGACCCCACACUUGGCUCUGGGAAACCCAAAGGACUGCAGUUUUUGCUUGUUUGUUUUUUCUGAGAUGGGGGUCUCAUUCUCUCGCACAUGCUGGAGUGCAAUGGCAUGAUCUUCCCUCACUUCAACCUCCACCUUUUGGGGUCAAACAAUUCUCCUGCCUCAGCCUCCAGAGUAGCUGGAAUUACAGGUGCGUGCCACCACACCUGGCUAAUUAUUUGUAUUUUUAGUAGAGACGGGGUUUCCAUGUUCACCAGGAUGGUCUUGAACUCCUGACCUCAUGAUCCAUCUGUCUCGCCAUCACAAACGGCUAGGUGUUAGCUACCACAUCCGGCCAAGGACUGCACUUUGAAGAGUAAGGGCGAACCAGAAGCAAACUGACCCUUGGAAGUAGUCUAUCCUGGCUUCGAACCACCAGGGUAGGUCAGAAAGUCUUAAACCUUGAAAUUGAUUAGGGUGACCUGGGAUUACUGGUGCCUCCACUAGUAAUCCAAGUGUCCCUGGGUUUUCCUCCAGCUAACUAAAGUCCCUACAGCUGGCAUUUGCCCCCUCCCACCUGCACUUCCACAUUGGCUGUUGAUGUGUCUGUCCCCUGCCCCCUUGUAGGCUCCUGGGAGGCAAGA
Callithrix jacchus (white-tufted-ear marmoset) is the source of this 6674-nucleotide long non-coding RNA. RefSeq lists it as uncharacterized. Lineage: Eukaryota; Metazoa; Chordata; Mammalia; Primates; Cebidae. The record is from RefSeq and is a predicted model, not a curated record.